This 617-nucleotide ribosomal RNA is filed under the name uncultured bacterium. RNAcentral describes it as "bacterial SSU rRNA". It matches the Rfam family "Bacterial small subunit ribosomal RNA", at positions 241 to 856 of the family's 1533-position model. The record is from RNAcentral.
UUAGCUAGUUGGUGAGGUAACGGCCCACCAAGGCGACGAUGGGUAGCCGGCCUGAGAGGGUGAACGGCCACACUGGGACUGAGACACGGCCCAGACUCCUACGGGAGGCAGCAGUAGGGAAUAUUGCGCAAUGGAGGGAACUCUGACGCAGCGACGCCGCGUGAGCGAUGAAGGUUUUCGGAUCGUAAAGCUCUGUCCUUGGGGAAGAAGGCGGCCAUUUUUGGCCACUUGACGGUACCCAAGGAGGAAGCCCCGGCUAACUACGUGCCAGCAGCCGCGGUAAUACGUAGGGGGCAAGCGUUGUCCGGAAUUAUUGGGCGUAAAGGGUGCGUAGGCGGCCUUUUAAGUCAGAUGUGAAAGACCACGGCUUAACCGUGGGGUUGCAUUUGAAACUGGAGGGCUUGAGUAUCGGAGAGGGUAGUGGAAUUCCCAGUGUAGCGGUGGAAUGCGUAGAUAUUGGGAGGAACACCAGUGGCGAAGGCGACUACCUGGACGAAAACUGACGCUGAGGCACGAAAGCUAGGGGAGCAAACAGGAUUAGAUACCCUGGUAGUCCUAGCCGUAAACGAUGGGUACUAGGUGUAGGAGGUUUCGAUACCUUCUGUGCCGCAGUUAAC